RNAcentral lists this ribosomal RNA (164 nucleotides) under uncultured bacterium. RNAcentral's name for it is "partial 16S rRNA". It matches the Rfam family "Bacterial small subunit ribosomal RNA", at positions 355 to 511 of the family's 1533-position model. The record is from RNAcentral.
UAGGGAAUCUUCCACAAUGGGCGGAAAGCCUGAUGGAGCAACGCCGCGUGUGUGAUGAAGGGUUUCGGCUCGUAAACACUGUUGUAAGAGAAGAAUGACAUUGAGAGUAACUGUUCAAUGUGUGACGGUAUCUUACCAGAAAGGAACGGCUAAAUACGUGUCAG